AGACUGAUAUAAAUAAAUACGUUGAAAGUUUGAGGAACAACAGGUAUUUAAGUAGUUUUCAAUACAUUCCCCAUAAAAUACUUAAUAAUUACAAAGAAGGAAGAAGAAACUACAUGGAGAAGCCUGUUGGACACCACCCUAAUCAAGUGAUCAGAGUGAUCCUCAUCAAUAGUGGGACGAAUGGAAAUCUUGAGCCACCUAAUGGGAUGCAAUGAGAAGAGCCCAGCAUCACUUCCGUGAUAUUCCUAUCAAAGAUGUAUAACCUGAAUUUUGACUUUUUUUGUGUGUGUGUGUGGUGAGGAAGAUUGGCCCUGGGCUAACAUCUGUUGCCCAUCCUCCCCUUUUUGCUUGUGGAAGAUUGUCCUUGAGCUAACAUCUGUGCCAAUCUUCCUCUAUUUUUGUAUGUGGGAUGCUGCCACAGCAUGGCAUGAGGAACAGUGCCUAGGUCCGUGCCCAGGGUCCAAACACACAAACCCUGGGCCACCGAAGCAGAGCAUGUGAACGUAACCACUACGCCACCACACCGGCCCCUGAAUUUUGACCUAAAAAAAUAUUUAUUUUUUAGGUGAUCCCACAAGGAGGAAACAAUCAGACAAAUCCAGGCUAUGAGACAUUCUAUAAGACAAGCAGAUGGGACAGCUGGGGAGAGGCGGGGAGAGGAUGUCAUCAGGCACCUGGGAGGGAGUGGGCAGUCCCGUUACAUACACACUGCACCCUAUUACAGCCCUGCAGACUUUUUGUAGCUGAGGAAACUGAGGCACAGGGAGGUGAAGUCAAUUCUUCAAGGACCCAGCCGCAGACCCUGGAUUGGGCUUGUCUUCAAAGCCCUCACUCCCAUCUGCAGGCCGAUUCUGGAAUUGAUGGUUGGAGCAAUUUUGGGUGGCGGAUGGGGCACAGGCAAGACAUGACUGAACUUUUUGGCUGGGACUGGCACAGGGCAGGCAUUUACUCGACAUUUGUUGGUGGAUACAGGGCUCUGUGCUCCCGGGCCAGAGGCCGGCUUACACAGGUAGAACAUGCACAAAGAGGAUUCUAGACGCAUCCCUGCUGGGGGGCAGCCAGGGCUGAGAGCCCGGGCUGUGGGCCCAAGGGCCUGGAGGAACAGGGUGCCUUCUGUUUGACCUCAAGGAGCAGCUGCCACCUUCUCCCUCCCACUUCUCUAUCAAGGCCUGUAGCAGCAAGAAAAUUGUAGUCUCAUUACCCAGUGACCCGAGAAGCACAAUUAAGCUGAAAAUUAGUUGGCAUAAUUAAUUAGAUGGGUAAAUAGCUCCCUGUCAACACCAAUCAAUCCAUUCUGCAUAUAAUCAGCUCGGCACCGGCAGGAAGGAGCUCCUGCAGCUGCUGCUUCUGCUGGUGGGCCAGGGCCUGGGGGGAGCGGAAAUGGGCACCAGGGGACAGGAUGUGCAGCCAGCACAGCCCCUGGCCCAGGCCAGGACCGCCAUGGGAACUCACGAAGUUCUGGCUCGUUUUCAGGGAAGUCCACUGCACUGGAAUAAGCUGCCUGUGCCAGCCCAGCUUUGUGUGGGAGCAGGAGUGGGAGCAAGAGGACUGGGGUUCCCCCAUUUCUACCACCUCCCCCGCCCCUCCCCUACAUAGCUGAGAAGAAAAGCAAUGUUCUAGAAGAUUCCCACCUGCACCCCUCUUUGGCUCUGGUGACUUAAAGAUUGUAAGGCUGAAUCAGCUCACUGGGGCCAACGCCCUGCUUCCCUUCAGUGAGCAAAGACCUGCUCUGUGGGUAGGAGACCUUGCUGUGCUCCCCACACCGCAUGUGGAGCGUGGGCGAUGGACCUUGGAGCCCGUUCCCGGCCAGGUCACGGAAAGGCCUACCUGGUCACUGAAAUCAGAGCCCACACACCUUUGGAAUGUGGAGCCAGGUCUUUGAUCAGAGUAAAAGCUGAGGAUAUAGAAAUGAACCAACUGCAGGUCUGCCCUCAAAGAAAGACGUGCAGUUACAGUGGAAUGUGAGGAGCGCUUCCUGUCAUCAUCAAAUGCCGGUGGGCCCGCCGUGGGCUCUGCACAGCCUACAGCUUGGCCCCCGCUGUGGAGGGGCCUACACUCCACUGGGAAAGACAGCAAAGGAGGAGUCACGACCUCCAACCUCCAGCUGGGAUGAGUGUUAAGGUCAGGGGAGCAAGAGCUGUGAGAAUACAGAGCCGGGUGUCCUGGCCCAGCCCAGGGCUGGAGGCGUGGUGAGGACCUCAAAGAGACAAGUUCCAGAGGGCAGGCCUCGGCGCUGGGGCACAGGGUGACUUCCUCCUGAAGCUGUUAGGCAGGACACAGACAAGCCCAGAUUAAUGCCUGUGACAGAGGCCUCUGGCCACAGUGUGGAGAAGAGCAAGAGGCCCUCAGGGAACAUCCGGGCUGGCAGGGGUCAGGCCUUCCUUCUUCUCUGUGCUUCGUCAGCACAGUCAGAGCAAUGACUCUCAGACGCUUCCACAACAGGCUGACUCACACGGUGCGGUCCGCUCGUCCAGUCACAAAUGGAGCUGGGAGGACGUGGCCUUUCGCUGCCCUGGAUAGAUGACAAAAGAACUGUUGGCUGUUCCUCCCGCCCUGCACUCGGCCUCCCUGAACUUGCCCAGCUGGCUGCACCCUCGCUUCUGGCUUGUCACAGCCAGAAUACUGAGAGGAGACACGUGGGCCACAGCGGGGUCCUACACCACCCCCAGUCCUGGUUGGGAAGGGGCCAGGCCUGGGAACCCUUUGCUGCCUCUCAAAGUACCACAGGAGAACUUUCUCCUGAAAUGGGGCCUUUCUGCCCAGCCUCCUUCUUUCCCCAAUAACCUCUCCCCUCACCUGCCCUCUGGACUCCCUCUAGAGUUUUAUUUUUUUUUAAGCAGAGAGGACUGGAAAGCUGAUGAGAGUCACAGUGAGCAUGGAUUCUGGAAGCCACUCACCCUGACUUCCCUCCCACUGGAGCAGCGACCGCAGAGGACCGUGAGAGGAAAGACAGGCUGUGGGCCGCGGCCAGCUCAGAUGCAGCCCACUAUCGGGUUGUGACCCCCGCCGAGCCGAUGGAGACAGUGACCCGUGGGUGGGAGGGAAGCUCAGGGAGAGGUCAGGGGUGAAAACAAAAGUCCCAGCUCUUAACACCCGUGAACACCCCCAACACAGACAAAUCUUGGAGCUUCUGGGGGUGAAACAGAAAACCUGCCCAAAUUCAGGACAGAACAUAGUUUCAGGCUGUCCACAAGCUCCUUAGACUUCCACUGUCAACAUGCACAGGAAUGUUUGCUACUGUAUUUGUUCCUAACUGGGAAGAAUUCGAUGUUCUAGAAUUAGAAGGCCUAGAGCAGCUCGGGCUCCAUCACUAAGGACCACAGACUGUGGGGCUUAAACAAGAGAAAUUUGUUCUCUCACAGUUCUGGGCACUGGGAGGCCCAGAUCAGGGUGUUAAAAGGGUUGGUUUCUUCUGAGUCCUCUCUCGCGGCUUGCAGGUGGCCGUCUUCCUCCCGCGUCUUCACAUGGUCUUUUUUGUUGGCGUCUGUGUCCUGAUCUCGUCUUCUCAGAGACAGUCUGUUGUGGUUAGAAAGAACAGGAAGAUCUACGUGUAUUGGCAGGGAAAGAGUUUCCAGCUAUUGUUGAGUGGGGAAAGUCAGUCACAGGACAAUAUGUUGAGGGGCGAGGGUGGGAAGAGUGCUCAGUUCUUCACUCUCUCCCUCGCCCUGGCUUUACAGCCUCUCCCACCGUGGGCCGAGUACAUUUCCCAGCCCCAGGGAUGUUGAACUUGGCCAGGUGACUUGGUUUGGCCAAUGGAACUCAACGGAGGCACCCAGAGCAGACACCUUCAAUGUGCUUACUUGGCAGAGCUUGGUCUCUUGGGAUGCUGUGACCCCCAGUGAGAAGAAUACAUCCCAGGGAAAGGCUGGUCCAAGGAGAACGUGGAGAUGUGACAAGCAGAACUGAGCCCAACCUCAGCCUGGAGCUAGCCCAGUAACUCACAUACCCAGGAGCAAGAAAAAUACACACUUACCUGGAAAGCAUUAUGCUGAGUGAAGUCAGCCAGACACAAAGGACCAAUAUUGUCUGAUUCCAUUUGUGUGAAAUAUUUAGAAUAGGCAAAUCCAUAGAAAGUAGACCAGAGGCUACCAGGGGCUGGAGGGAGAGGCGAAUGGGGAGUUAAUUACUUAAUGGGUACAGAGUUUCGGCUUCGGGGGAUGAAAAGGUUUUCGAAAUAGUUGAGACUUGCACAACAUUGAGAAUGUACUUAAUGCCACUGAACUGGGCACCUAAAAAUGGUUAAAAUGGUAGAUUUCGUGUUAUAUAUAUUUUACCACAAUUUCAAAAAACGAUGUAAUACAUACAGUCAUGAACCACAACGAUGGACCAAAUAUACGACAGUGGUCCCGUAAGAUUAGUACCAUGUAGCCUAGGUGUGUAGGAGGCUCUGCCUUCUAGGUGUGUGUACGUAUACUCUCUGAUGUUCACACGACGACGAAAUUGCCUAAUGACGACGCAUUUCUCAGAACGCAUCCCUGUUGUUAAAUGGCUGUACACAGAAGCCAUUGAAUUGUACGCUUUAAAUGGGUGAAUUGUAUAGGAUGUGAAUCAUAUUUCAAUAAAGCUAUUUUUUAAAAGCA
This is a long non-coding RNA of Equus caballus (horse), 4580 nucleotides long. Lineage: Eukaryota; Metazoa; Chordata; Mammalia; Perissodactyla; Equidae. The record is from Ensembl.